GCAAGUCGAGGGGUAACAGGGGAGCUUGCUUCCGCUGACGACCGGCGCACGGGUGCGUAACGCGUAUAGAACCUACCUUUUACAGAGGAAUAGCCUUUAGAAAUGAAGAUUAAUGCCUCAUGGUAUUACAGACUGGCAUCAGUUUGUAUUUAAAGAUUUAUCGGUAAAAGAUGGCUAUGCGUCCUAUUAGCUAGAUGGUAAGGUAACGGCUUACCAUGGCAACGAUAGGUAGGGGUCCUGAGAGGGAGAUC
This 251-nucleotide ribosomal RNA is filed under the name uncultured bacterium. RNAcentral describes it as "partial 16S ribosomal RNA". It matches the Rfam family "Bacterial small subunit ribosomal RNA", at positions 57 to 305 of the family's 1533-position model. The record is from RNAcentral.